GUUCACCAUCAGAUCAAGGACUGCCGUGAAGGGGUGAACCACAACUCUUGUUCCGGAAUAUGGUUUCAUUCGUAGAGAUUUGCUGCAUUUUCACUUUCGUUCUUCCGGAGGUUAUCAAAAAGGUGAAGCCUGGAAAUGGUGAAUCAGCAAACUAAGCUACUCAUGGAAUCUGGUGGACAUCUGAUAUUAAGCAAGAGGGAUGCUCAAGAGGAAUCACAGGUUCUGGUGGAUGAAGCGCUUAGAAGGAAUUGCAAAUCCAUUCCCUCAUGCAUCAUCAUUAGCUUUCACUAACUUCUUUGUUAAACUUUGUCAGACGUAGUCAAGAACAUUCUAUCAGAC
This is a long non-coding RNA of Dioscorea cayenensis subsp. rotundata (Guinea yam), 339 nucleotides long. RefSeq lists it as uncharacterized. The transcript is spliced from 3 exons. NCBI's taxonomy places the organism in Eukaryota, Viridiplantae, Streptophyta, Magnoliopsida, Dioscoreales, Dioscoreaceae. The record is from RefSeq and is a predicted model, not a curated record.